Molecule: ribosomal RNA, 434 nt
Filed under: uncultured bacterium
Lineage: Bacteria
Description: partial 16S ribosomal RNA
Rfam family: Bacterial small subunit ribosomal RNA
Source: RNAcentral
AGCGAACGCUGGCGGCAGGCCUAACACAUGCAAGUCGAACGAACCUUUCGGGGUUAGUGGCGGACGGGUGAGUAACACGUGGGAACGUGCCUUUAAGUUCGGAAUACCUCAGGGAAACUUGUGCUAAUACCGAAUGUGCCCUUCGGGGGAAAGAUUUAUCGCCUUUAGAGCGGCCCGCGUCUGAUUAGCUAGUUGGUUGAGGUAAUGGCUCACCACGGCGACGAUCAGUAGCUGGUCUGUGAGGAUGAUCAGCCACAUUGGGACUGAGACACGGCCCAAACUCCUACGGGAAGCAGCAGUGGGGAAUCUUGCGCAAUGGGCGAAAGCCUGACGCAGCCAUGCCGCGUGAAUGAUGAAGGUCUUAGGAUUGUAAAAUUCUUUCACCGGGGACGAUAAUGACGGUACCCGGAGAAGAAGCCCCGGCUAACUUCGUG